UGUAUAUUGUCAUCAUCAAGUUGGGUUCGGUUCAAAUUCAAGGCCAAAAGUAGGAGGGCUCUGGAAUUUUCCUCCAUGGGCCCUAUCGUCGCCUUUUUUUCGCUUGUCGGUGUGAAACAUGGUCGGUCAUAUGUUGUUGUAUAUCGGAUAUUUUGUCAUUUUGUCGGAGAUUAUCAAUCAAGCAAUAAAAGUUGCAGGGUUUUGUUUGAGAUUAUUGUUGGCACUGGAGGUCCUCCCUGUCACUUGUUCAUGAUUUAUUUCCUUCCUUCCUUCCUUUCUUGCACGACGAUAACUGCCACACAUGUGGGCGUUAAGGGGUCUGCCCACACGUUUUAUAUAGUGUCUAAAAGGACCAGCCCACACGCCUACGUGUGGGCAAAACAACUAGCAUCCACACGCCUUUUUUUUCUCUUGCGGUCCUUCUCACACGUCUAUGUGUGGGCAAAAUGCAUUACUCUCACACGAUCUCCUCUCUCAGCCAUCUACCUCACAGUCCUACACGCCCCAGCGUGACAGUCACCACGUGUCCCCGCAGUUGCCAUGGUCUGGACCCUCUUCAAUGUCCGUUUACCUGUACUUGCCAUGUCGCCGAACUACAGUUGCUAUGUCGGACAACUACAGUUGCCAUGGUUGCUCAACUGCAGUUGCCAUCUCAGGUCAAGUGCCAGAUGCCAUUUUGGACAACUGCAGCUAUUGCCAUGUAUGAUUUGGUUUACUAUAGUUGCCAUGAUUUGAAAACUUUAAAGAAGUCAGCAAGGGGAAAGUCCGCUGCAUUUUUUUUCUAGAUUUUGCCUGGUCCAAUUGAAAACGGCCGGAACCAAGGAAGUAGAGAUAUCUACAACCAUCUGUUUUGCGGCAGCUACCGCUGUUGCGACUGUCUGAGGUGAUUUCUUAUCAACCGCAAUCUCAACCUUCUUGUCGAUGUUUUCUUCGGUUAACCUUCGUCUUUCCUUUCUCUCCUCCGUGUUCUCAUUGUAGUACUUCUUCCACGUGGUGCCGUCUCCGACACCAUGCACGCGUCCAUACGACGCUCGAGUAUCCACCGUGAGUCGUUUCAAUAUGUUCAACGCCCGGUUGAAUGGAGUGUCCCACUUGGGCCUCGCCCACGCCUCAGACGGUGAGUCGCUUUCAGCCUCAAUCCUAUGCUGCUCUCUCUACAAAAGGCACAAGGAUCGUUUACAAAUAUGCAUGACUAGCUACGUGUAGUCGAAUUGAUCAGAAACUAAAAUUACCAGCAGUCUCAUGAACUCCGUCGUGAGCGCGUUCAUCUUGAAAACCUUCUUCACUGGGUCCCAACGGUGCCGGGCCCUGAGGACGUCACGCUCCUGUGGGACGGUGAACUCCGCCAAGGGGUCUGCGAUGCCCAGACUCGUGGCUUCCGCGUCCUCCUUGGACCAUAUGGACCUCUUUCCACCGUAACCACGGCUUCCGAGGUGGUGGCACCCAAUGUUCCUCUAUUGAAGCCCCUUCAUGUACUUCGAUUUUUUCGGCAUCUUCGGCCUUGCAAGCCGCCUUGAAUAUUUCAAAUUACUCUGCCGUGAUUGUCGGAUUAUCCUUUACAAUCUCGGAGUAGGGUUCCUUUUUGUCGAUCCUUGCUUUCACCCUUGUUUUCCAGGCGGCCAACGCGUCGCUAAACUUGGACAUGGCGUGUUUGUUUAUCUUCUUCAUUGUCGGGUCCUUAUCUGGAUCUUUAUAAUCCUUUUCAUUUCGGCCCGGGAACAAGAAUAUCUGGUGCAGCUUCUUUAGGAGGGAGGGCCUCAUAUUAUCUAUCUUCUGUAGUUUCUCAUCGCUGAUGGUGGCGGUUGUCCAUAUGAUGCAGCCUAUUUGAUUGCCGUAGCACGUGCGCGCUUCCUCGGGCGCGGUUGGCUCAAAAUUGCCGUCGUCCACCGACGUGACCACCAGUCUAGUAGUCCUAAGUUUGUUAGGAAGUCGUUGCCUGUUUGCUUUUGGUUCUACACAGGCUCCACUCCCCGAGGCAGCGCCGGCCUCAGUCUCAGCGCCGGUCUCGAUGCCUGUCGUGGUUUUGUCACGGCAGAUGUCCUUAGCAUGAGGACUUAGUCGCGAGGCCAACGCAUCUAUGUGGUAGCUUGAGAGGGGUUGAGCGGAAUCGAGAGACGCAACACAAGACAGGGAUAUAGACAGCUUCGGGCCCCGGGAAACAUCAUCCGGUAACAACCCUACAUGCUGUUUGAGGCUAGGUCUCAUUAUCAUCAUGAGGGAGUCGCCGUAAACCGGCUCUUCUCUUUGUGUCUAGCCCUAAGAUUGUUUCUUCUUGCUUGUAGCUUGUCCCUCUUUGGGGAGCCCUGCCCCUCCUUAUAUAUGUUGAAGGGGCGGGUUACAUGUGGAGUCCUAUUAGGAUUAGGACUAGUCUAUCUCUAAUACAAACCGGAUACAAGUCCUGGUCUUAAUUCUUUGUAAGGUAAAUAUUUCUCAUGCCUUUCCUCUUAAACCGGCCCACCAUAGUAUGAACCGGCCUUCUGGGCCUUGGGCCUUGUCAUCCGUCUGACCCGCCCGCCGGGUUACCAGUAAGUCAUAAUGACCAAGAGGGUUGCUUGUAAACCGCCAGGUCAGGGCGGGUCGCCAGUAACUCGCCAAGUGUCAGCGGGGUCUUCAGAUAAACCGCCAAGUCCGGCCGGGUUAACUUCCGGCCGGUUUACGCCGCGGGGUAUAUCCCCGACAUUAGCCCCCAGUUUAAUUUGGAUUUAUCCAUGUUAAACUGAUCCUGUAAAACAAAUACAAGAACAAAUUUGACAGACUAUGCUUGUAAACCGGCAUCUGAUCAUUCUGAAGUCCUUGUCAUUUCCUUCUUCUAGAAAAUCCGGGUCAAUAAACCAGCUUCAUACUCAAAUUGCUGACGUUGGUUUCUCAUAGAAAAAUAUUGUGAAGAAUAAUCCACUUGAGUCGGCUUCCAAAGCGCCGGUUUAAGAAAUUUUGGUCUUGAAAUACUCAUCUGAUAUUCGGCCGGUUUGAAGAUGUAGAACUUGCCGGUUUAUCAUUACCAAAAUUGCCGAGUUAUAAAAACUGAUAAUUCCGGGUCAUGAUUGUUUCUAACGCCGGUUUAUGAUUGUGGCCAACGUCAGUUCAUGAUUGUUGCCAACGCCGGUUCAUGAUUAUUGAUAAUGUCGGGUUGUAGACACAAGGUCAUAAUAAUUGGUGACACUGGGUCAAUCUGGUUUGCUCAAAACAGAGAAUUUGAAAAUAUUUCUCCGAUAAUAAUAUAAUACCUGUAGCCCCCAAGUCUUGAGCAGAACAAAGUGAUGGCUUAAGACUUGCUUCAAUAUAAAUACUGCCACUUUUGAAGAAAUCCAUGUUGUUCAUCCCAGUCACUAGUAAAAACUGAAUACUCCAUAUUAUGUAGCCCCCAAGGGCCGGGUUGUCAUGCUUGCAGCAACCUGGGACUUUGUAAUUGUCUGAUGCUCAAAAACUUCAACCAGUGUAACCCCCAAGGGCCGGGUCGUUAUGCAAUAAUAAGCAGGGACUUUGUAAAUAUAAUCAUGUAGACUUAAGAAGUGAUGUGUAGUCCCAAAGGGCCGGCUCAUUAUGAUGUGAUGAGUCGGGUCUUCAAUAAGGCCAAAAAAAUGACUUUGCAUUAGCCCCCAAGUGUCAUGGUGCAUGCUUGCAGCGACAUGAGACUUGCAUGGAAUCUCAGUUUGAAUAAUGUAGCCCCCAAGUGCCGGGUCGUAAGCCUGCAGCGACUCGGGACUAUUCCUUCCAUUGUAGAAUAUAUCCUUUGAUAAAAUAAUAGCCAUUGCGCUAAAGCGACUUUGAAAACCUCAAUAAUACCGGUUAUUAAUAACCAUAAUAAAAUCCAGCCAUGUUGGCUAUUCAAGAUAAUAUAAUCCGGUAUGAAAACCUUAUUCAUUCAAUAUCAUAAUGAAAAUUCAGCCAAGUUUGGCUGCUUGAAUAAUAUAACCCAAUGAUUUAUAAGCGCAUGAUUCCAAUGGUGCAAUUCGAAUAUAUACUGGCGACUUAUAGUCCAAAGCCAGGCCGGUUUAAUAAACACCGGUGGCGUAUAAUCAUGCUUUAUUCAACCUAUUUCUGCAUACAACAAGUUUAAAGUGUUCUGACGGUUUACCACCGGACGGGUCAUAAUGCCCAACAUAUAACCCAGGUUUAUAACCAAGGCUGCACUUAAGAAUAAUCAAAUAUGAAAUAUAUCAUACCUGUGACAUUGAAUCACAUUGUUGGUUUACCAACUUUUUGUAAUAGGGGUAAUAACCCAAAUUUUGAGUACUGAUAACUCCUUCCAUAUUGUGCCAGUUUAUGAUAAAACCGUACCGGGUUUGUGAUAAACACCGGAUUAACCAUAUAUAAUACUGGUGACUUGUAGUCAAACCAGACCAGGCUGAUAGUCUCCGGAUUAUAACUUGAUCGUGUACUGACAACUUGUAGUUGAAAGCCGAGCCGGGUUGAUAAACACCAGUUUACUCCAUAAUAGGAUGGUAACAGAAAAUCAAACCGGGCAGAUAGCCUCCGGAUUAAGAUUUGACCGUGUUCAGUCAAUUUGUAAUUUGAUAGUCGAACCGGUUUAAGAAUUGUCGGUUUAAAAACUCAACAAAAGAAAUAUUUAUCAAAACAAAAUUUCAAGCAAAGGCAAUGAUAAAACCAUUUGCAAAAAGAGGCUAUUGAGCCGAUCAAAUGGCGUUACCAUGGUCGGACACGACCAAGCCCCCGAUAGGCGUAGCUAUGGUUCAAGUCAGCCAGGUCCCCAAAUGAAACAGUGGCAUUAUGCCGAUCAAAAGGCGUGGCAACGGUUCGAGUUCGACCAAGCCCCCAAGUGAUUCUGUGGCCUUAGGCCAAUCAAGAGGCGUGACUAUGGUUCAGACGUGACCACAAGUCCCCAAGUGAUGCAUUGGCAUUAUGCUGAUCAAGAGGUGUAGCGAUGGUUCGGGUUCGACCAAAGCCCCCAAGUGAUGCUGUGACACUAGGCCGAUCAAGAGGCGUGACUAUGGUUCAGGCGUGACCACAAGUCCCCAAGUGAUGUUGUAGCUUUACGCCUAUCAAAAGGUGUUGCUAUGGUUCGGAUACGACCAAGCCCCCAAGUGAUCAAUAAUAUGAUAAGCCAAUAAGGCAGGAUACCCAUGUUUGAACCGCGCAUCAUGGCAGCAGGUCCUCUUUGGCACCCUUUAACUUUUUGCAAGAGAUAAAUCCUUCUUGAACCGGGAUUUUGAACCGGAUAUUGAGAGCUUCAAAGCUUUGUGGGAGAUAUCUUUCCCUUGAACCGGAUUAUAAACCGGAAUCUUCAUUUUCAGCCAAAAACUUUCUGACAGCCUUCCAACUCGAACUUGCGAGAAGUUAAUUCCUUUUUGAACCGGACAUUUUUAAACCGGAUUUGAGCCAGAUACCAAGGGCUUCAGCUUUGUGUAGGAGACAGGAUUCCCCUUAAAUCGGAUUAUAAACCGGAAGCAUCAUUGUGAGCCGGAAUAUUUCUGACGACCUUUAAAUUUUCAUCAAUAUAGCAGUAGCCCCCGGGACCGGGUUAUCUUUCCCUCCAUCGUCCUGGGUUUCUUAAACCGGCUUAAACUGGCAAGAUUUGCUGAGUCAUGUCAUCAUAGCCCCCGAGUCUCAAAGGUCACUCGAGGAGUUGGCUUGAGACUCUCCAUAUUUGACCGUGAUAUAAACCACAAUAACUUGUAUAUCAUUGAUGUUGAUAGCACGAUGUGAAUCCACAGAAGGUUGAGGUGACUGCAACAGGUUAUAAAUGAUCCCGUAUGAGCCGUGUCAGCAACUCGGCCAAUGGUUCCUUCCAACUGGCGAUUUGAAGUUAACCAAACUGUAGUGGCGGCGACUUGUGCGCCUGCUCAUUGAGCCAUCCAGUGCAGACGGCGGUUGAUAAUAAAUAAUAAUUUGCCUCCAUUUUGUUGAAAGAAAACCGGGCUACCCAAGUUGUGACUUGCUCAAACAGCUCAUGCAGACAGGUGCGGCCCAGUGUGUUGAUGUAGACUAGGCCGCGAGAGACGAACGCCAAAGACGACCUCAGCAUCAGGGGUGGCAUAGAUGAGUCGGCCACGACGCUGUACGCCGGUGCGGACAAGCAAGUUGUCCUCCUCGUUCUAAACCGGCACGGACGCGUGAACCGGCUGCGAGAGCGGACGGGCGAGUCAUCCGUGGUGUUGUAGGCUGGUGUGGAUGCGCGAGUCAAUCAUAGGCGCAGUCCCAGCUAGUUGAUGUAGACCGGACCAUUGCAUGAUGAGUGGCGUGUUUGCCUGUGAUGUUGGUCAGCCCCCGGCAUGUUGAUAGUUGAAUGCCCAUCUAUUAAGAACCGUGGUGCAGAUGGGGAAAAUCGGCACCGGUGUCGUAAACCGGCACGGACGGGCGAGUUAAUCGCGGGCGCGGUCCCAGUAAGCUGAUGUAAACCGGGCCACAGGGAUGACGACUUGCACACGUUCAUUCAUCGGGUGAUAUGACACGGACGAAACGCCGGUGCAGAACGUUGCUAGCGUGUUCUCCGUGCCCGUAAUAUGACGCCUUAUUUGUAAUGAGUAAUUGUCUUGCAUCAAAAAAUACCACAUGCCAAAGUAAUUGUUCACAUAAAAAUUAAUAUAUGCUAUGGAAACAAAAUCGGACGGAUAUCACCUGAUGUUUGUGUCUGACAGAUGAUCUGUACGCCGCGUCAGAGGCAUUUCGGUGGUUCAGACAGACCGGCGAGUCCUGGCGACUCAACACGGCAGAGGCAGCUCCACGUGGCCCUGACGAUUUAACACGGUGGCGACGGCGACAUUGGGAUGAAGCCUUUUCAUAAUUGUUUGUGUACUGACACCUCUUUUUCUUUUGUUCGAGGGGCAGCCAACUUGCCGUACCACCAACAAUGAGUAGUCUCAGACCCUUCUUAAUUAAAAAUGGUCUUGAGCCUUUGAAACUUGGCAUUCAACUUGUGCAGCACCUUGCUAGGAGACUCCUUAAAAAUCUGUGCAAACCAGAGUAACGCGGGCAGUGAAGAGCGCUGCGGCGGCUCGGCGGGACAGCAACAGUGGGCGGCCCGUGGCGGCGACUCAAAGCCCGGUCGGUGCGGUGGCUCUGUAAUGGCUCACGGCAGCGGCUGUGGACUCAGCAGGGACCGGGUCUCGUGCAACCAUGGCAACAAUUUCAGGCAGCUCGACGGCGCGUGACAACGACGGUCGAGCAAGAAGAGGUCAACAGAGAUGCAGUAAGGCGCAGCAGAAGCAACGCUCAGAGGCGGCGGGUCAAACUUGAAGCAGGACGACCACAACGGCGGUUUGGAACACCGGUGGGGGCGGCUCGAAGGCCGCGACGGUUGUAGCAGAAGCAUACUGGUGAAACGGUGGCUCAGUAGAGGCUCCGGCAGGACCAGGCGGCUCAACGCGGGACAGCCCGGAAGGCGACCGGACGGCUCACGGCGCUGGGCGACUCAGCGGGCGACGGGCUGCUCGCGCCGGGCCGGCUCAGUGGCUCGGCGACCGGCGGUUCGGACGACGAGGGCGCGACGGCGGCGACCAGCCUAGAGGUGAUGGGAGGUCGUCUUUGGCGGGUUGGCGAAAGCGAUGGUGCGGCCGGCUUCGACGAGGUUGGAACGAGGGAGGCGCCCGGUUCAGUGGCGGUGAAUCAGGCGCAUCCAACAGAGAGGCGACAGGUUGAAUCAGGUCGCAAGAAAUCAACUCCCAUCGCGGCUCAGUAAACAGGCGUGGAGGCGCUGCGGCGACUCUGGCGGAGGAUCGAAUCCACGUCCACUUUCGUACUGGGGCCGGCUUAAUCGACUCUCGUCCGUGUCCUCCUUGCAGUCGUGGUCAGUCGUGGUCUCAUCGACGUGGUGAUUUGACAGCUUGAUGGAUUCGGAGAUGUGCACAACCCGCCGAGAAAAAUUGACCGCACCCGCCGGAUUGCACAGUGACAUGAAGAUUAAAAUCCUGUUGGCCGUUUGUCUCGGCAGAUUGCCCGACGACGGCGACGGACCAGUUGUAACCCUAAAUUUCUUGAACCUUUAAUCGUUACAGAUCUCAAAUCCGGACUGAUGAACUUGAAGUUGGUACAAAUCCCUCCAAACCAGCUCAUCCGGAAAAUUGCAAAACUUCUUGAUCCUUGGGAGAGAUCCCUCCAAGAACUCAACACCACCAUGCGCGGGCCCCACGGUGGGCACCAACUGUCGUGGUUUUGUCACGGCAGAUGUCCUUAGCAUGAGGACUUAGUCGCGAGGCCAACGCAUCUAUGUGGUAGCUUGAGAGGGGUUGAGCGGAAUCGAGAGACGCAACACAAGACAGGGAUUUAGACAGCUUCGAGCCCCGGGAAACAUCAUCCGGUAACAACCCUACAUGCUGUUUGAGGCUAGGUCUCAUUAUCAUCAUGAGGGAGUCGCCGUAAACCGACUCUUCUCUUUGUGUCUAGCCCUAAGAUUGUUUCUUCUUACUUGUAGCUUGUCCCUCUUUGGGGAGCCCUGCCCCUCCUUAUAUAUGUUGAAGGGGCGGGUUACAUGUGGAGUCCUAUUAGGAUUAGGACUAGUCUAUCUCUAAUACAAACCAGAUACAAGUCCUGGUCUUAAUUCUUUGUAAGGUAAAUAUUUCUCAUGCCUUUCCUCUUAAACCGGCCCACCAUAGUAUGAACCGGCCUUCUGGGCCUUGGGCCUUGUCAUCCGUCUGACCCGCCCGCCGGGUUACCAGUAAGUCAUAAUGACCAGGAGGGUUGCUUGUAAACCGCCAGGUCAGGGCGGGUCGCCAGUAACUCGCCAAGUGUCAGCGGAGUCUUCAGAUAAACCGCCAAGUCCGGCCGGGUUAACUUCCGGCCGGUUUACGCCGCGGGGUAUAUCCCCGACAAUGCCGGUCUGAGUCUCAGCGCCGGUCUCAGUCUCAGUGCCGGUCUCAGUGUUAGCACCGGUCUGCGUGUCGGUCUCAGUCCCCGAUGCAACCGGUGGCCCCAGCAACAAUAUCGGUUGAUCAUCGGCAAGGCUCAAAAAUUCAUCUGCCGCCAGGUAGACGUCGUUGCAAUAACCAGAACCAUGUCCUUCAUCGUUGCUAGCCAUGUGUCCUACGAUUAAAUCUAGUCAAUUAAUUCUAGACCUAAUAAAAUGAAUAAUGACAUAAAAAAGGCCUAUGUUUUGCAGGAACGUUGACUCCUUCCCGGUGCGGCAAAUCCCGGGCACUCGAUAUGUCCUAGUUUGUAGCACAAGUCAUGCCGAAAUUCACGGAAAAUUUCGGCAUGACCUUUGCUAGAAAGUGGACAAAUCGAGAACCUAAAAUUUGCCGGAACGGAAAUAAAUCAACAUUCCGGCAAAACAUAUGCCACUCAGCUUCAUUCCCUGGAAACAACAAAAGGCCACUUGGGAACAAUCGAAACAUGGGCAAACACAGUUGAGGAAUUUGCAUAUAUUCUGACCACUUCAAAUUUGCAUGUCCUAGCGUUUGACACUUCAAGAAAAUCUACACAAAUCUCAUGCUCUCUCGAACUCAAUUCAAAAACCAAAUAUAGAUUAUAUUUAGUUAAGUACUGAACUAAACUUUACUCUAAACUAAACCCUACUACCCUAAUUAACAUCUAGUUAAACAAACUCAAUUCAAAAACUAAACCCUACUGAACUAAUUAACAUCUACAUUAUCUACUACUUAACAUCUAUUAUUACCCUAACUAAAAAACAUCAACAUUAUCUACUACUUAACAUUAACAUCUAUUAACUAAAAAGGAUGGGUGGGGGCUUACAGAGAGGGGAGAGACGGUGGCGGGGAGGUGCUCGGUGAUGGAGGUAGGGGCGGCGAGGGCGAGCUCAGGAUCGGGACACGGCGGUCCUGGCGGGCUCGGGGGCGGUGAGGUCGAGGGCGGUGGCGGUGAGGUCGAGGGAGGCGACGGUGAGGUCGAGGGAGACGGCGGUGAGGUCGAGGGAGGCGACGGUGAGAUAGAGGGCGUCCCAAGAGGCGGUGGCGGUGAGGCUGGGCGGCCUCGGGCGGCGGCCGUGAGGAUGAGCGCGGUGUCGACGCCGGCAGGAGAUGGCGGCGAAGUGGGGGCGACGGUGAAGUGGGGGAGACGACGGCGAAGCAGGCGAGGGAUUGAUUUGGGGGAGAAGUGAUGGCCGGGAGGAAACCGUUUUUGGUUAAGUCAAUAGUAACGAUAGCGCGUUACAGAAAACGCGCUAUAGCUAAGUUAGCCAUAGCGCGUUUCAGAUAACGAGCUACUGCUACGUCUUCCUCAUUUUUCCCUUUUUCAUUUAUUUUUCUUUAUAUUAUAUAUUUUUUCUUUCUCCUUUUUCUAUUUCUUUCAUUUUCAUUAACUUUUCUAUUCGUUUUUCAUUUUAUUUUAUUUUCGUUAGCAGUAGCGCUUUAAGCAUAAACGCACCGCUAUAAGUAUAUUAGCGGUAGCGCGGUUUCUGGAAGAUCGCUACUGCUAUGUGUAGCCCAUCGGCUAAGUGAUUGGAAUUUUAGUAGUAACGAGUUUUCUGUGAUACGCGCUACUGAUAUAUGUCCAUCUGCAGCGUGCUUAUUUUGCACGCGCUACUGCUGUCUAGCAGUAGCGUGCUUUUUUAACAAGCGCUACUGCUAAAGUUCUGUGUAUAACGUUUUCCCUAGUAGUGUGUAUGUGCACCACAAUAUCCCAUUGAGGUAAGAUAAGGAUAUUUCACAACUGUUGGCCUGUAUUUUGCCACUUUCAUCAGAAAAUUAAUGUCAUUGUUUAGUGCUAUACUUGUGCAACCUAAUUGACAUGCCAAAUCUUACAUUGAAGGCGAAGCUUGUCUGUUAUUGAACCAAGUGAUGAAGGGGAAGAACAAGCGGAAAAAAAACAAAAAUCAACUCCUGGUGCUGUAAAGAAGCACUGGAACUGUGAUGACACAAGUAAUGAUAUAGUUUUGCAUCUUAAUUUAUUGCUAUGGCUGGAACGAGCAAUUGUUUUGCCACUGAUUUGAUGCCACUCUUAAUGUAAUACGUAAUUAUCUCUACUUGUGCAAACAGGGAUCUUAUUUGAAGAUACCAUAUAUUUUAGUGGAACUGCACAAGAAAAUGUUGGAAACAUUAAUCUAAUCGAGGAGUAUAUAGUAAGCAUGGCCACCACAGUAGAUAGCAACAGAUGGUUCCGGAGAAGUGCUUCAUCUGUAUGCUCUAGACAAUAAGCCUCCUGACAAAGGUGGAUACUCGCCCACUGAUUUCAUCCAUAUGAUUGAGCUUUGUCAUCUCUAUUGGUGUUGUGCUACUGUUUAGAUACUGUCAUCAAAAAGUGGUAUUGUCCUUGAUAAGUGCUUCAUCUGUGCUGUUUUAAAUAUUUUCUUUCCUUUUUUUUCGAGCAAACAGGGAUGCUAGCAUUUAGUUAUCCUCUUGUCUUUGCACAACAGGAUCAUCCUCCUCUGAAGAAGAACAUGAAGUACGUGAAGUGACUAGUUUCGAUUAUGCCAGGAUGAAGAAGCCAUGUCUAUCUUCUCAUCAGAAGGAGCAGUUGAAGGAUGGUUACAUUACCCCCCACAAGAUCAAACUAACUUCAGCUCAGAAGGACUGACAAAUCUCCAUUUUCUUGCUAUGAUGCGCGAGUACAAUGUUGUUCUAGGAUUCUUUCCGGUGAGUUCCAUUUUUCUAAAAGUGUGCUCUACAUGGACCAUGUAGGUGCCUGUUUAAACUGUCAAUUCAUAGUACAGUUUGUUUUAUACUAAUCACUUUUUUUGUAUUUGUGCAAACAGGGGUGCUCAGCUUGAUUUCAAUGGGAACUGCACAAAAUGUUCAUGAACACAUCGAAUCAUUCAUUUCCACCACAAGAAAGGAGGUGUCGAUAAGUUCAAGGCAUUGCAACAUAUAAGGGCGAAAUCAUACAAGCUACACGCGAAUUUGGUUGAUUUUGGUGGAACUGCACAAAAAGAACAGCUGGCUUAUUUAGCACGAGGUGCCAUGUCAAUGUCCGAACUGAUGGCAAACCCUGCCCAUUCCACAAUCGUAGGCAUUUGAUAUUUUGGAAUGGGAAAACCUUGUCAAAUUUUGCUCAUUGAUUUUAGCAAGAAGAAAUGCGUUUGAUAUUUUCGAAUGGGACGCCCUUUGCUGUCAGCAGCGUCGAUCCAUUUUUUCUUUAUUCUUUAAUUGUGAAGUAAAUAUUGACUUUGACAUGUGAAUCACUGAGAUGCAUAAUCAUCGAUUGUUUUGAAUGUUCUCUAUGAAUUGCCAGGCCUGUGUGUUUGAUUGCAAUGUACAGGAACGCUAAAAAGCUGCCCAAACUCUUUGUACUCCUUCUGUUCCUUUUUACUUCGAACAUUGUGAAAGUGCAUACUUUUUUCUAUAAGAUUGGUCAAAGUAGAGAUACUUUGACUGCAGACAAAACUUGUAUGCAGACUAGAAAGGACCGGAGGGAGUACAUGUGAAACUACUGCAAACAAGGUGAUCACCCUGGGAAUAAUGCUAGUACGUAUUGUUUUGCAUGUUCUCCAUUGGGACGUCGUCGUCCUCUGGUUGCCUGCCGGCUAGCCAGUCAGCAGCAAUGGCUGCCAUCUCCUUGUGGUUCGUCGUCCUCCCGCCCUGAAGAGCACUGAAGCGUGAGGAAGCCAUGGUGGGCAGUAGUGGUGUGGACAGGAGAAUAGGAACGGAUGCGGAUGACUGCGGCUAUGGCCAGCGUAGCAGUUUAUAUAGCAAUGGUGGGCUACGGAGGAACGGACGUGUGGCGCCGGAGUAGCCGCCUCGGCAACUGCGUAUCAUUAAUGUGGGCGGCAGAAGGACGGACGGACGACACUUGUGUCGGUUGAAGGCGGAGCAAUCGCAUGCACCGGGAAGCGGGGCGGGCGGCGCUGACCGUUUCGAGCGGAAAGCACACGCGGGCGAGGGAGGCGGUCUGGGUGGGCUAGGGCAGGUAGACUCGUGCUUGGCAGCGGGUCGGUCCAGCAGCCAGACAUGCUGGCUCGUCAGCUACCUCGUCGAGCUGAGCGACGACAAUCAGACGAUGGACGUAGCUUCCGACCAGGAGCCAGCGCCAUAAGCCGGUUCAUGCCGUGUUCACCAUAGAGCAGGUGCGGCCGCACUUCGACGCCCUAAUGGCGGAAGAGCUACCAGCGCAGGAGGACCUGUGCUGCAACCUCCGUCACCUCAAAGAGCACCGGUGAACAAGCGAACGACAAUGCCGUUGUGGACAUGUGGCCCUAUGAUCCUGGCUUCCGGAAUGAGCAGCGGGCGCUGUAUCAGACCAUCCGUAGGGCCCGCGAGGCCCUCUCCAUCGUCCUUCGAGUUGUUGCGCUCGCCGUGGCACCGCCGUCUCGCGUUGUCAACAUGGUCAACGUACAUGAGGAUGAGAAGAUGACUUUACUUGGAGAGGAUGACUGUGGGGACCCACCAGUACCAUAACCACACGUACGCAAGUGCCUCCUUAUUAGUAUAUAAAACUAUAUAUUUUUUUGCUUCCUCCUGGUUUCCUGACAUCACGGUCCCACAUCAUUGUCAACCUAUGUAGUCAAUAAACGAGAGAAUUGCAUAAUAAGCGGCCGACAGCUGGGACCAAGCAGCUCGAGCAGUAUUUUAGUUUUUGAGGUGCGAGCACUGCAGAGUUUUUCUUGAGCGAUGUUUAGCCCAGAUAUUAAUUUUUCUCCUCUGAACAACAACGAAAACAUGUUGCAGCUAUUAACUAGGCGGGUUGUGGCCCGUCUAGACCAGGUCAGAUAUUCAGCCCAGAUAUUAAUUUUUUUCAAGCUGAAAAUGGCUAGCCCAACUAUACUUUUUUUAGAAUACCCAGGCAAGGUCAAGUUGUUAUUCUCCGCCCCGCUGGGCAGUAAAUCUUUUCUAGGAGGGAUGCAUUAGGUUUAACAAGAAAAUGAGUUUUAAGAAAUAAUAAAUGGGAUGUAAUUAUAAAAACUAGACAGUAACUAUAAAAAAUGCACCAAACAAGUAAUUACUUUAUAAAAUAUUAUUUUUGGAUAUUGAAAAUUUUAAUUUCAUUAAUUGUUGCGAGUGCUAUGUUUUGUUGGAUUUUUACGUAACAUAAAUUUAUAUUGAAAUUGUAUUUAAUCUGACUAGAAAUUUCGGUAUAAAAAUAUUUUAGAUCCCAUCAAAAUGUGGGAAAUUUUAUUGAAUUCUGUUUUGAACGGUUGGUUGAAAUGGGCUGUACUUUUAACAAACUAUAAAUGGGUUGUAGUAAAUUUCAUUAGAAUUCAAAAAUUGGCUGCACAUUCUUACAAAUCUCAAAUGGGCUAUAAGUUCUCUGUCACACACUUGUGGCCUUACUAAGUUGACGCGUCCCCUCAAAAAAAAUAAUUGACGCGUAUGCAUUGUCAACUUAUAGUCAACACACGGUUCUAGCAGCAGUGGCCGUUGGAUGUCCAUCCAACGGAUGCUGUGCUUCUUCUUUAAUCUCGGAUAUUCUAGCUUCACCCGCCCAAAAAAUGAUUCCUCCCCCUGACAUCUAGGGCGCACCAUUUCGGAAACUGACCUGUGGGCCUACUAAAUUGACACGUACCAAGGGCUUUGUCAACUUAGUCAAUGUAAAUGAUUCUAACUGCAGUGACCGUACGAUGUCCAUCCAACGGCCGUCGUGCUUCUUCAAUCUCUAGUCUUCUUGCUCCAGCUGCCCAAAGCAGCGCCGGUCGUGCCACCUGCUCCUGCCUCCCGUGGACGGCUGUGCUGCCGCAUAGGCCUCACCGCCCCCUACUACUCCCAUCGCUGGCCAGGCCAUCCCUCUACUCACCCACACCCCCUGUUAUUCCGCGGCGAUGGCAGCCUCACACCGCAACCGAACCAGUGAACCCUCGUACUCCUCUCCGCGCGGGCUUCCACUGCCACGUCUUCCCGGCUCCGUGUCGUCCCCUUCCUAGGCCUCGCCGUCGUCCACCGCCCUGGUGCUCUCGGCGCGGCGUCGUCAACGUGGUCAAGGAACGACUUCCAUCGGACAUGGACUAUAUGUGCAAAGGCUGACAGCUGGGUCCACGACGGCAGCAAGGAAGUGCCUCCUUAUUACGCGAAAAAUAAUGAUUCCUCCACCUCAUAGCAGGGACCCACCGGACGGGCCACCGUAUUUCGCGAGAAAAACGUUUCUCCCCUGACUGCUAGGACCCACCGGACGGCCACCGUAUUGCCUGAAAAAACGUCCCCCCGCUGUCAGCUCGGACCCACCGGAAGUGCCUCCUUAUUACGCACAAAAAAAAUGAAUACUCCCCCUGCUGGUUGGGACCCACCUUGGUGGGAGGCUGCCUUGUGCGCCUACUAAGUUGACGGGGAUGGAGUGCUUUGUCAACUUAGUCAAUAUGAACGAUUCUAACUCCAGUGAAUGUACGAUGUCCAUUCAACGGCCGUAGUGCUUCUUCAACCUCUGGUCUUGUUGCUCCAGCCGCCCAAAGCAGCGCCGGUCUUGCCGCAUGCUCCUGCCUCCUGUGGCUGGCUGUACUACCGCGGAGGCCUCACCUCCCCCUACUAUUCCCACCGCUGACCAGGCCAUCCCUCUACUCACCCACACCCCCUCUUAUUCUACGACGACGGCAGCCUCACACCGCAGCGAACGAGUGAACCCUCAUACUCCUCUACGCGUGGGCAUCCACUGCCGCGUCUUUCUCGGCUCCGUGUCGUCCCCUUCCUAGGCCUCGCCGUCGUCCACCGUCCUGGUGCUCUCGGCGUGGCGUGGUCAACGUGGUCAAGGAACGGCUUCCAUCGGACAUGGACUAUAUGUGCAGAGGCUGACAGCUGGGUCCACGACGGCAGCAAGGAUGUGCCUCCUUAUUACGCGGAAAAUAAUGAUUCCUCCACCUGACAGCAGGGACCCACAGGACGGGCCACCAUAUUUCGCGAGAAAAACGUUUCCCCCUGAUUGCUGGGACCCACCGAACGGGACACCGUAUUGUGCGAAAAAACGUUCCCCCCGCUGUCAGCUCGGACCCAUCGGAAGUGCCUCCUUAUUACGCACAAAAAAAAUGAAUACUCCCCCUGCUGGUUGGGACCCACCUUGGUAGGAGGCUGACUUGUGCGCCUACUAAGUUGGCGGGGAUGGAGUGCUUUGUCAACUUAGUCAAUAUGAACGAUUCUAGCUCCAGUGACCGUACGAUGUCCAUCCAACGACCGUAGUUCUUCUUCAACCUCUGGUCUUGUUGCUCCAGCCGCCCAAAGCAGCGUCGGUCUUGCCGCAUGCUCCUGCCUCCCAUGGCCGGCUGUGCUGCCGCGGAUGCCUCACCUCCCCCUACUAUUCCCACCGCUGGCCAGGCCAUCCCUCUACUCACCCACACCCCCUGUUAUCCUGCGGCGACGGCAGCCUCACACCGCAGCGAACCAGUGAACCCUCGUACUCCUCUAUGCGUGGGCAUCCACUGCCGCGUCUUCCCCGGCUCCGCGUCGUCCCCUUCCUAGGCCUCGCCGUCGUCCAUCGCCCUGGUGCUCUUGGCGCGGCGUGGUCAACGUGGUCAAGAAAUGGCUUCCAUCGGACGUGGACUAUACGUGCAGAGGCUGACAGCUGGGUCCACGACGGCAGCAACGAAGUGCCUCCUUAUUACACGGAAAAUAAUGAUUCCUCCACCUGACAGUAGGGACCCACCGGACGGGCCACCGUAUUUCGCAAGAAAAACGUUUCCUCCCUGACUGCUGGGACCCACCGAACGGGCCAUCGUAUUGCGCGAAAAAACGUCCCCCCCGCUGUCAGCUCGGACCCACCGGAAGUGCCUCCUUAUUACGCACAAAAAAUGAAUACUCCCCCUGCUGGUUGGGACUCACCUUGGUGGGAGGUUGACUUGUGCGCCUACUAAGUUGACAAGGAUGGAGUGCUUUGUCAAACUUAGUCAAUAUGAACGAUUCUAGCUCCAGUGACCGUACGAUGUCCAUCCAAUGGCCGUAGUGCUUCUUCAACCUCUGGUCUUGUUGCUCUAGCCGCCCAAAGUAGCGCCGGUCUUGCCGCAUGCUCCUGCCUCCCCUGGCCGACUGUGCUGCCACGGAGGCCUCACCUCCCCCUACUAUUCCCAUGGCUGGCCAGGCCAUCCCUCUACUCACCCACACCCCCUUUUAUUCUGCAACGACAACAGCCUCACACCGCGGCGAACCAGUAAACCCUCGUACUCCUCUACGCAUAGGCAUCCACUGCCGCGUCUUCCCCGGCUCCGUGUCGUCCCCUUCCUAGGCCUCACCAUCGUCCACCGCCCUGGUGCUCUCGGCACGGCGUGGUCAACAUGGUCAAGGAACGGCUUCCAUCGGACGUGGACUGUACGUGGAGAGGCUGAUAGCUGGGUCCACGGCCGCAGCAAGGAAGUGCCUCCUUAUUACGCACAAAAUAAUUAUUCCUCCACCUGACAGCGGGGACCCACCGGACAGGCCACCAUGUUUCACGAAAAAAUGUUUCCCCCUAACUGCUGGGACCCACCAGCUACAUCUUCGCACGCAAGGAAGUGCGUCCGGGUAAAAAAAUGAUUCGCCCCCCUGACUGCUGGACCCACCAGCUACAUCUUCGCACGCAAGGAAGUGCCUGACAGUUGGGACCCACCUGGUCGAAGCGUACGUAGCAUUGUCAUUCUGGUCGCGAACAUGUACGUACAUACUGGUCGAUGUAGAGGCGCGCACGUGUCGUAGUAGAGGCGCACACAUAGCAUGUACACGUACGUACAACGGCCAGUGUGCAAGAAAAAAAUACGGCCACGUACAUACAUACGGGAAGGGUCUCGAACGCCUACUCGCGCAUACGUACGGCCAGGGCUCGUGUACAUGGCUGGGUCGGAACGGGGAAACAGCGUUAUCGUCGAGUUCAUGGGGAGUCAACUGGCUGGGUCAGAACGGAAUGCGUCGUCGUGUUCAUCGGGAGGGCUUGGACGGAAUAGCCGAUGGAAACGAGACCUGGCGUACCGCAGAAUGGAGGAAACAACCUUGUGUUUGACCGGGCACGUUCAAAAUGGGAUCCUGUUCAUCUGGAGGGGUCUGGCGUACCGCAAAACGGAGAAAACGGACCUCCUACGGUCGAAAUGGGGUCCUGUUGAUCGGGAGGGGUGUGGCGUACCGCAAAACGGAGGAAACAGACUUGUGUUGGAGCGCUACGGUCGAAAUGGGGGUCAUGUUGGCGUACCGCAAAACGGGACUCCACGGAAUACUGUUCAUCUCCACCGUCGACCCCCUCCAGCCUCCACGGGCUACUGUUCAUCCACCCUCGACCUCCUCCAGCCUCCACCUGCGACUGUUCAUCCAUGGGUUCCUGUUCAUCCAGCCUCCACCGCGCGCUACUCCACCGGCUACUGUUUAACCAGCCCUUUCCACGGGCUCCUGUUCAACCACCCCUCCACGGGCUCCUGUUCAUCCAGCCCUCCACGGGGUGGUCCUGUUCAUCCUGCCCUUCACGGGGUCCUGUUCAUCCAGCCCCAACCGGCUCGAUCGAUCGGGGUCCUGUUCAUCCAGAGGCAACACCACGGGGUCCUGUUCAUCCACCCCCACCGGAAACUGUUCAUCCAAACCCCCCAGCAACGCUCACUGUUCAUCCAGAGGCAGUAUCGAUCGGCUUCAGUUAGCAGUAGUAGCGAAGGAAUCGCUCAAUCUGGUUCAGUUAACAACCAUCGAUCGAUCGCUCGGGUUCAGUAACGCGUAGCCUGCAGUGCAAUCGCUCGGGUUCAGUUAGAGCCCAAUGCCUCGCACCCACGCGAGUGCGUGUACGAGAGAAACGCGCAUCGCUCGGCCCCGACCACCCACCGUAACCGGGAACACCCCGAUAUUUUCCUUGCCCUCGCUUCUACAACGGUUUUUUCCGUCAUGGACGGCCCAAAGAAUGUCAUGCAGCUGCGUCUCCGGCCCGCCCAGGACGAAAAGCUCAUUUUCUGUCAUGAUUUUUUGUCAUAGAAGUAGGACCCCAUCACAUCUAUGAUGAUACCGGGUUUUGUCACAAUUAUCAUCACAGAAGUGUCAUAAGUAUGACAGAAAAAAUUUCGUUCGGCCCAAAAUGUCACGGAUGUAUCUUUUUUUUUGUAGUGAUAGUGUGGUGCUAUUUGGUCUGUUCUUGAUGAAUCUGGACCAAAUAGUUUUAGUACCGUGUUUUAGUACCGUGUUGUGCCAGUAGUUUUUUUUCGAGAAAACACAAAAGACCUUUGUGUUUCAUUUCAUUGAAAAGGAAGGAGUUUGGGUUACAAUCCUCCUAGGAGGCAAUCAUACAAUGCAAAAGGGUGAAAUCAGUGUACAUCGGUCUGGUGUGUGAGAGCACGAAGCCCCAGUGCUCCGGCUCUGGCCCAGAGGGCCGCUUCCUCCUUGAUCUUGGUCAUCAGUGCAGCAAUUGAGGGGCUGGCUCUCUCGAAGUCACAAUCAUUCCGGUGUUUCCAAAUCAUCCAGGGUAUGAGCAGGGUCGCGGAGGCGAGGCCCUUGCACAUGGGCUUUGGCGUGAACCUGUGCAAACAUUGCAAGUUGCUAAACAUGUUGGAGUUAUGUUAACCCUUUAUUGACUGAAAUCGGUUGCUCUUUACAAUGCACGAGUAUAGUUCCAUUAUUUGUGUGCUGCCAUAUACUACAUGUCAAAGUACAUGUACUACCCAGCUAAAGUGUAUUGAUAUAUAAUACUUGAAGUUGACAAUCUACAAUACUUGAAGUUGACAAAUAGUUGCACACAAGGUUUAGGAACACUCUUGCGGCGUUUUUAAACGCCGCUUAAGUGGUAUGGACAAAGUCAACGGUGAGAGCAAAAAAACAGGAAUCAAUAUAUAUUUGAGACUGCCCAAGGCAAAAAGCUACUCCGUAGGUGUUAACAAAACUACGAUAAAAGGCAUCCGUUGUCUCAUGUAGCAUAACUAGCCAUGUUUUCCUUGUCAAUACCUUUCUUAAAUUUAAGACCAUGGGAGCUCAAUUUUUGCUGUUUGGUAGUGAUGUAAACGCUCUUAUAUUUUUUUACGGAGGGAAUCCGCUUAAUAAUUUCUUGUUCCAGCCCCACCAUGCAUCCUAUUUUAUCCUGCAGGGAAGAAAAGCUUUGAGCCUGUUAAAGUGUAUGUACUAGUUAAACCUGCUGUCCUUGAGUUGGCAGUAAUCGAUCACCUUAUCCUAAUUAUCUAAUUCAGUUUGUUUAAACUUUGCAGAUCAAAAAGCAUGCUAGCUAGCUAGCACCCCUUUGAUCAAAAAGUUGAGCCCGGCCGGCGAGUAUGAUCAAAAAGUUGAUGCAAAUUAAAGCUCAAGGACGGACGAACUGUAGUAGGGUAUUACAUAUAUACAGAGACCAUUGAACUACUCAAUGCUGGCUACAAUACAAUGUAUGUUGAGAAUGGAACGAUCGAUCGGAAUAGAAUAAAAGCAGCAAUCAUGUGCUUUUCUUUUCAUUUUCCAACGAAAUCAUCAAAACAAAAACCUGAGAAAUUAAGCACAACCAUACAAGCAUCCUUUUGAUCAGUACAAGCUUCACACUCUGUUUUUUUUCCUUUUCCAACGAAAUCAUCAUCAGAACAAAAAGGGACCUGAGAAAUUAAGCACAACCAUACGUAGCAUAUAAGAGUAUCACACACAAACAAACCUAGUGUUGUUGUAAGCAUUUGAUCAUGCAUGACACGGAUCAGGGGAGGAUGCAACCAUACCAUACCAUAUGUUGUUGCAAGCAUUUGAUCAUACUCCAGCGCAGGGCAGACGCAUAUAAAUCAGGGGAGGAGGCAGUUGGCGGUGAUGGCGCGGUAGAAGCACAUGCGGAAUGUAGGAGCGUACACGAAGAUGCUGGCGUGGCACUUCCAGGCGAAAUGCCCAACGCAUGGCAGUAGUUCGUCGCUGAUCUCUACGCCGAUGCAGUGGUCCUCCUUCUUGGCCUCCUUGUCCUUGGCCAAGCACUUGUCCUGCAGGACGGCACCGAGGAAGCAUGGCUGGAAGGUAGACUCCCCGGUGACGGUGUUGAUGGCGAAGCACGUCAGUGCGGCGUUGGCGACGCAGGCCGUCUUUGCACUCUUGGUGCUUACGCCGACACAUAGUUUGUCCUCUGCCAGCGCCCGUGCCAGCGCCCGUGCCGGUGCCGGUGUGGCGGAGACGCCGGCGCCGCAUAUGAGCACUAGGACAAGGAGGGACUGGAAGGUGGUGGCCAUCGAGCUUAAGCUUGGUUGGUUUCUUCUUCUUCUUCUUCUUCUUUUUUCUUUAGGGGAGGGAGGAGGAAUCGAGCUUGGUUUCUUUCUUUCUUUCUUGGGUUGAUGAAGAGACUUAGCUUCAGAUCCCCAUAUUUAUAGUUGGGCUAAUCGUCCAUGGAAAUUUAGAUUUCUCAUUUUUGUUUUUUUUGACGUCAGCACACAAUGCAAGCCCAACCUAGUACUGAACAUAAUCUCAUAGCUUAGAUUCUAGCGAAAGCGACACAAUAUGCACAAGGCCAUAGUUUAGAUUUUGGUGAGAGCGACAUUAGGUACCAGAUCCAAAGUGGUGGAUUGAAUUGAAUGAAGAAAAAGAAAACAUCAUAAUCCAUCCUAGAAAGAAAGUACAUAUAGUACUGAAAUAAAAGUAUGUUGGCCUCCUUAUAUUUCAUGGCAAAAAUACUCGGCCAACUUGAAAAACACUCUGCAAAGACCAGAAACUCAUGUGGCUCUUCAAGACCUUCUAGAUUAGUUCAACUUGUGUGGGCUUGAUAUGUUUGUGUUCAUUCGCCCAAAUGUUCCUACAAAAAUCAUCAGGGAAUCGUCGACCAAUAGCAGAUGGAUUCUCAAAAGAGAAACAUGCACCCAAACUCAAUGCGGUGUAUUUCGACUCAAAAACAAAAAUUAUUAUGUGAUCAACAACUCUUUAGAUGAAGUAUAAACAUUUACGAUGUACAGCACGAAAGAUAUCUCCCAAAAAGCACUUUGACUUUGACUCCACCUCUCACAGACAUAGGAGCUUGGCAAACAAUUUCAUCGCCAUGAGCCAAACCACAAGUACAGAUCUGAAACCAGACAUUAGAAAGGAAGCAUUUCAUCGCCAUGCACUGAAUGAAGGUCACAUGCUAACCUAUACUAUGGCUGAGGACCACCCUACCUUGCCCCCACAAAGAGACCACCAUACCAGAUUUAUCCACAUGCCGAUAACGAGCUAAAAAUGAAGAGAAAAACCAUACCGGAUUAAUCCACAUGCCGGUAACGAGCUAAAAAUGAAGAGAAAAAAAACAUAAUAUACAUGCUAGCUGAAAACAUUAAAAAAAAACUGCGAUGUGAUUACUUAGGUGGUGCCAAACUAUAUCACCAACGGGCAACAUUUAACUACACUAGUUAUGUCUGGAGUACUGUUAUAGUAGUAAAGUUCACAACAAAGAAGAGGAUCCACGCUUCACUCAUGUCGGUAACCAAUAAAUUAGGGAUUUUUCCUCUUUUUCCUGGACAGCUCAGAUCCUGUUGGAUGGCCUCUCUGUCGAGACCAUUGAGUUUGACGACAGACUCCACUUGCCCUUUGAGCGUAUGAAGCUCCCUCAACCCGUAGCAACCAUGACACUGUAGUUAGUUUCACAAUCUUUGUCGACAAAGACAACUAUUUAUGUCACGAUUGAUUGACAAAACAAAAGCCGAAACAGAGGGUACGUGUCUGAGGCCGAUAUAACGUCACAAUCCUACAAGUAUAUUAUCAUCAAACAGAGGAGAGGAGGCUUUCCCUUUUCCUCCUGGCUGGCUAGAUUCCAAGCUCAACCCGGCCCAACCAACGUACACACGUACUCAUCACACUUGUCCAUCUAUCCAUCGUUUUUCUUUCUAACUUGCAUCUUCCCUCUCAACAACCAACCACUUUGGUUUGGUACUAGUGAUUUGGUUGGGGCCUGUCAUUGCUGGCCUCUUGAGAGGAAAUUACGCGCGCAUUUCUUUUUCUCAAAGGAAAAAAAAGAGAAAAAAAUGGCCUUACUUGAACAUGAUCUAUUCUAAAAAAACCCUCAUCUUCAUCUUAAAAUUUUUAAAAAAUUUCUCGUAUCACUUGAACAUCACAUCCAUCUCAAAAAGAAAGAAAAAACCCUAAAAAACUUUACGCAGAAAGAAAAAAAAAUCUCACUUUCAUCUACCAAAAAAAAUGUCAAAUAAAAAUAUGAACACCACAUCCAUCUCCAAAAGAAAAAGAAAAAGCCUAAAAACUUUUCUCAAAAAGAAAAAGAAAAUUGCCACUUCCAAAAAUAAUCUCUAAAAAAACUUUUCUCAAAAAUAAAGUUUCACUUCCAUCUUUCAAAAAUAAUCUCAAAAAGAAAAUCCAACAGUUUAUCACCGCGGCCAACCAGCAUGCACCACGUGGCCAUGCAGGCUGGCCGCCAUUCUCCCACGCGUUAAUGUGUGUGAUAUGAAUACGCUUUCCUUUCUUCCCUUUAUAAAUCCAAUAAAAGUUGAUUUUUUUUGGAUAAAGGAUGCUUUUGUUAACUUAUAAUGUAGCAUCAAGUAGAUACAAAAGUGAACUUAUGGUUAAGUUUCAAGACUGAAAAGAUUUGGAAGGCGCGCGCAAAGCUUAAGGCUACUCAUAGUGGGGAGUAUCAUAUAUUAGUAUUAUACAUAUGAUAGAGUAGUAUCAUAGAUUAUCAUUUAAUAGAUUAUCAUAGCAUAGUAUCAUAUAUUACUAGUAGUGCAUAGUAUCAUAGAGUACUACUCCCUUCGUUUAGGUGUGUAAGUCAUCUUACGUUGUGCACCGCGACCAAGGCGGAGAGGAAAACGAGAAAACUUAAUGUCUUUUUGCUAAUUAAUAGCAUUGCAUGCAAUGAACUAACCAUUGCAUGUCAUGUUUGAUAGUCUCAAGUCAUUGAAAGCAUGCACGGCCCACAUCUUUUAUUGGUUGAUAUGUCACAAAACAAGAAACGAGGAGAGAGUUAAUGUACCGUGCCUAAGUGUUUUGGGAUUAUUUGGUUUUCGUAAGGUGACUUACACACCUAGACGGAGGGAGUAUCAUAGAUUAUCUUAUUUAUUGUCAUGCAUGACACAAAGCAGCAUAUCAUUUAAUAUGAUAGGGUAUUGACCUAUAUUACUCUAACCCUCUCUCUCUUCUUUCAUUUUCUUUGCCACACCAGCGUGUUUGCUAUUCCCAAAUACAUGAUAGUACCUAAAAUACCACCAUUAUGACUAGCCUAAAUGUAGGUUAUUUUCCUCGCUCGUGCUUCGUGUACACAUUCUUACCGCCCAUAAUAAUCUAGCCAGGAAUCCGCAUCGGCCAUGCUGCCCCCGAUUUUGACCAACCGAAUAACCAUCCCUUCCGACUGUUGAGUAUAUAUUUUGUGUUCCAUGUAUAUUCGUAUUGUAGCCCACUUCCUAGUUGUGUAUAGUUGAUGUUAAUACCUACCCUGUAAUUAUAUAUACGUGCACCGGUACCUCAUCAAUACAUCGAUUAUUGUAUUGCCAACUUGUCCGUCUACACCCACCAACACCCACGGCUCACAACACACUCCCACUUAAAAAUCGAGCCCACCCAACACUAAUUCUCUUCACACUACUCCAGGGUGUGACUGAGUCAAAAUCGAGGGACACAAUCCAAAAUCAACGAUCCCAAUAUUGGAUGCGAGGCCUUUAAAAUUAUGAUGCAUGGUGAUAUAGAAGAUGUGUUCCUGAUUUUCUUCCCCCAUAAUACAAUACGACAACAAGGCAAAGCUGAAAGAUUGAAUGGACUUUUUACACAACUCCUUGCAUUUCCUAUGUUCCAUAUUAUAUUAUUAUUAGUAGGAGGAGGAUGUAGCAAGGAUCUUUGUGCCACACUCCUGAUCCGAUGCUCUGAACGUCCUUGAACUACAUAUUUAUCUACAAAUAUACAAUUCUAAUCCUUGCCGAUCGAUCAGGGAGCUUGAUUGACAGCUGAUAUACGUAUAAAGAAGAAGAAGAAGAAGAAAAGAAUGAAAGAAUUGUUUGAUCCUUCCUCUCUAGCUCUAGCUAGGCUAGCCAGUUGUUGAGGUGGUGAGCACGCGCGCGUGUCCUCAUCAAUGUCAAUGUCAGAGGGAGGGAGGGAGGGAGGGUCAGAGUGCGACGAUGGCGAGCAAUGCGAGCACGGCGAUGACGGCGCCCCACGCGGCGGCGGCCCUGGCGGCGCCGGAGUCGUCCUGGUGGGUGAGGUCGUGCCGGCCGGUGUCGAUCAUGAUCUUGAAGCGGCAGGUCCCCCGCGACGGGUUGGUGGUGGUGACCACGGAGAGGUUGUUGAAGCCGCAGGAUCCCUUCUGCUGGCUGGCGGACUGGAAGAACUGGUUGAAGGCGUAGGAGACGUUGCCCCGGACGUCGAGGCCGCCGCAGGAGGAGCCGGGGCUGAGGCUGGUGCAGUCGGCGUACUGGCACGCGUACCCGACGGCGCCGAUGAUGGCCGGGUCGGUGGGGCUGGCGUCGGGGCGGAGCACGCACCACUGCUUGGAGAGGUACCUGACGCCCUUGGCCGGCACGAUGCCCUUGCCGCCGGCGAGCCGGAGCGCGUACUUGGGCGAGCCGUCGUAGUUGAAGACGCCCCAGUGGCGCUCGAAGUUGCCGGGGUCGACGCUCUUGGCGUCCUUGUCCAGCAGCGCGAACACGUAGACGUCGGGCAUCUGGGGCCGGCGCGGGGUGCCCUUGCCGGCGACGAUGCGGUCGAAGAGGCCCUGGUUGAACUUGUGCGCUCCGGCGGCGUUGGCGUUGGCGUCGCCGUCGGUGGGCCAUCCGAUCUCGCCCACCACGACGGUGAUGUUCCCGAGGCCGUGCUUCUCGAGCGCGGCGACGAGGGUGUCGUAGUUGGCGUCGAAGACGUUGGUGUAGAGCACGUUGCCGUCCUGCACGCUGGCCUGGGAGGGGGGCGCGCCGGGGGCCGGGAAGAAGGCGUAGUCGCGCGGGAAGUUGGCGUCGGCGUCCAUGGAGAGGAAGGGGUAGAUGUUGAUGGCCAGCACGCCACCGCUGUCGAGGAGGAAGCGAACGAGGCUGGUCAUGAGGGCCGUGAUGUCCGGGCGGAAGUCGCCCGAGGAGGGGCGGACGUCGAGCGACUCGUAGACGUCGGCGUUGAGGGGCACGGUGACGCGCACCUGGCGGGCCAGUCCGGCCUUGACGAGCGCCGCCUGCAUGUUGUGCACCGCCGGGAGCGUGGCCGCCGAGAGCAUGUUGCGCACCUGGCGUGGUGACGAUGAUGAUGUUCUACCGGCGCAGGGCUUCGUCUAAACUCCGCGACGAUAUGACCGAGGUGGAAUAUGGUGGAGGGGGGCACCGCACACGGCUAAGGAACGAUCCGUAGAUCAAUUUGUGUGUCAUGGGGUGCCCCCUGCCCCCGUAUAUAAAGGAGCAAGGGGGGAGAAGGCCGGCCCUAGGAGGGGGCGCGCCAAGUGUGGAGUCCUACUAGGACUCCCUAGUCCUAGUAGGAUUCCACCUCCCUUGUUGGAGUAGGAGAAGGGGAAAGAGGGGGAGAGGAAGAAGGAAAGGGGGGAUGCGCCCCUNNNNNNNNNNNNNNNNNNNNNNNNNNNNNNNNNNNNNNNNNNNNNNNNNNNNNNNNNNNNNNNNNNNNNNNNNNNNNNNNNNNNNNNNNNNNNNNNNNNNNNNNNNNNNNNNNNNNNNNNNNNNNNNNNNNNNNNNNNNNNNNNNNNNNNNNNNNNNNNNNNNNNNNNNNNNNNNNNNNNNNNNNNNNNNNNNNNNNNNNNNNNNNNNNNNNNNNNNNNNNNNNNNNNNNNNNNNNNNNNNNNNNNNNNNNNNNNNNNNNNNNNNNNNNNNNNNNNNNNNNNNNNNNNNNNNNNNNNNNNNNNNNNNNNNUUUGGCCUCUCUCCUCUACUUCCGUAUGGCCCAAUAAGGCCCAUAUACUCCCCGACGAAUUCCCGUAACUCUCCGGUACUCCGAAAAAUACCCGAAUCACUCGGAACCUUUCCGAACUCCGAAUAUAGUCGUCCAAUAUAUCGAUCUUUAUGUCUCGACCAUUUCGAGACUCCUCGUCAUGUCCCCGAUCUCAUCCGGGACUCCGAACUCCUUCGGUACAUUAAAACUCAUAAACUCAUAAUAUAACUGUCAUCGAAACCUUAAGCGUGCGGACCCUACGGGUUCGAGAACUAUGUAGACAUGACCUAGAACUAUUCUUGGUCAAUAACCAAUAGCGGAACCUGGAUGCCCAUAUUGGCUCCUACAUAUUCUACGAAGAUCUUUAUCGGUCAAACCGCAUAACAACAUACUUUGUUCCCUUUGUCAUCGGUAUGUUCCCUUUAUCGAGCAGAAUUAUAUGAUUUGGUCUUUGUUAUCUUGUCUCCAUGCUGGAAGAAAUGGGAAUAUAUGCACUAGUUUUUACAUUCUUUUGUAACUAGGUAGGGUUAUUGUUGUGAAGGGCUUAAAAUCAGAGAAUGGUUUGAGUUGUCGAUUGUUUUUGUGCUGAGAUCAAAAUGCAUGUGAUUAGAUAAUGCGGUACUCUGGCAUGAUAUAGUGACUAUUCAUCAUGGUUAUGCUUCCGUUUCAAUUGUGAUUCAAUGAAUACGCUUCUUGGUAGUAUUGGUAGGUGAUUCUUUGUCUUCUUUGAUAGGAUUGAACAAGAAAAGAGUGAUAUUCUCUACAUGAUUUCUUACCAAAUGUUAGUGAUGUGCUUUGUGGUACUGAUAAGAAGUGUGGCAUGCUUGACCUAUUCCCAUGUGCUGGUGCUGCGUGCAGUGAAUAUAGGAAUACGAUGGCUUGACUGAUUGUGACUUGCCACAGAGCUUAUUUUAACAGAGCAUCAUGGAAGAAGCUUGGUUUCAAGUUGGUACGGUCUACUAGGUGACGUUUGAUUUUAUAGGCCUUUUUUCACCAAGGCAUGGGCUUGUGUAGUGUUGUCUUGGUGAUGUGCAAUGUGUAGUAUUCCGUUCUUAGAUGGUGAGGGAUGAUGUUGCAUUGCUGAAUGGGUUCCAGAACAUACAUUCGAGAAUUUUUUUUCAUUUGGUUUGGUCAAUAUUUAUCAUGAUUUGCUUAAAUCAUAUGUGUCGUGGAGUAGCUUCAAAUGCAUGUGUCGUGCAUAGUGCUUAUCUACCCUGAAUACAUGAUUACAUUCUUUACAGCCAUGGAACUUUGCUCACUUGUUUCCCCAAAGUUGUUCUUCUUCAUUUGUGUUCUCCCCAAUGCUGCAGAGGUGGCGUAGGUAAGAUAAGGCACUCCCUUCCUCUCCUAUGCUUCCUCUUCUGUUCUGUGUCUCCAUGGCCAUCGAGCCAUGGUAGGUUCUAUACUGGCCAUGCAAAUUUCUAGGGUUUGAGGCUAUGGUGAUGGUAUGUUGUGAUAACUAGUGCCACUAUUUCUCUUUUGCUCUUUGUGUCCACAUCCAUUGUGUCGUGGUGAGCUCCGUGCUCGCCAUCGUGCCAUGGAAAGCUCUAGUCUUUUGGGCUAUGGUGAUGGCCGCCCUUUGCGUGGAUUUAGCCCCGGAGAAUAAGUUUUUUAGUUUGACUUGUGGUUUAUAGAAUCAAUUAAUACACAAUCCAGCACUAUUUCUGGUUUGUCUACCGGAUUUUUUCAUUAUUUCCAUGCAGACUAUGUAUGCGAUGCACUUGAGACUUGACCUCUACCUUUCAAGUUUUGAUAAGCUCGAAUAUUGUUAUGCUAUAAUUUUGUGUUUUGUACAUUCGAGAGAGAUCUGACUAGGCUGUUACAGGUUGAGGGAACUUGAUAAGCUCAAGUGACAUGUGGAAUUUGGUUUGCCAACUAGAAGGCGCUCGGCAUCGAGACGGUCCAGCAGUCCGUACACGGUGUGAUGAUAAAACUUCCAUGAAUGCAUCAGCUACAACUACUUGGGUGAGUCCCUGAUCUGGGCUCCCAUUGUAUGCGUCCUACAUCUUGCUUAUCAACCCUCAACACAUGGUUACAUUCUUUAAAGCCAUGGACCUUUGCUCACUUGUUUCCCAAAGUUGUUCUUUCUUCAUUUGUGUUUUCCUCUUGCAGAUGCGAUCGUUGUUGUGAUAAAGCUGCAGUGGUGGUGUAGGUAAGAUAAGGCGCUCCCUCCCUCUCAUGUGCUUUCUCUUUCGCUCUGUGUGUCCAUGGCCAUCAAUCCGUGGUAGGUUCUAUGCUGGCCAUGGAAAUUUCUAGGAUUUGGGGCUAUGGUGACGGUCUGUUGUGAUAACUAGCGCCACCAUUUCUCUUCUUCUCUUUGUGUCCACGACGUGUCAUGGUGAGCAUUGUGCUCGCCAUCGCGCGAUGGCAAUCUGUAGUUUUGUUGGGCUGUGGUGAUGGUCACCAUUUGAGUGGAUUUAGCCCUGGAGGACUAAGUGUUUUAGAUUGCCUCAUGGUUCAUAGAAUUUAUUAAUCCCCAAUAUGGCACUAUUUCUUGUUUGUCCACUGAAUUUCUUCAUUAUUUCUGUGUAGACUAUGUAUGCUUUUUUGCCAGUUGCAAUUAAUUGUUCGCGGUAUUUGUUCUUGACCUGCAUAUUUGGAAUCAACUGGCCAGGAACCAGUCAAAUUUUCUUAUUUGUAAGGAAGGUAUGGGGGAAACAAAUAAUACCCUUUUGACAUUUUAUGAGAUAAAAGUGAGAUAGAAUAAUCUGCCAUGUGAAAUCAUCAUAUAUUCCCUAUCUGUGUUGGGCAUAAACCAGUCAUAUCUUCCUAACUUAGUUCUUGCCGUGUAUCUAGAAACUGGUUGCCUGAAGCUAUUCCCCAACUUCAUUGACCUACUGAUAUAAACCUUGAUGGAUUUUAGGUAUUUCUUAGCUUGGUUGGCCUACUGAGAUGAACACUUUUUCUUUUUUGUGAGACUUUGAGAACAGAGUCGUUGCUCUAUUUGUAAGGUGUGCGGAUGCAUAUUUGAGUCUUAGACUCCGCGGUGUCUCAGGUUGUUUCUUCUAUAUAUAAAAAAUGCCGCCAAGUGCUCCUGUUUGGUCCCCCUUUUCAUAUUCUGAAACCUUGAAAUAUAACUUCCUGUAAUUUUGUUAUCAUUCUGCAUUUCAAGAACCACCGAUUGUAAAGUUGAUUUGUAAAUCGUUUACGCAAUCUCUCGUGUUGUGCAUAAGUGUUAAGAGUGUAAAGUUUCAUCCAAUUCCUUUUUUUUCAUGAAUUUUAGGUUAUUCUUUGAGGUCUCCUAAUCUUCUACAACCUCGGCAGUGGUGGCUGCCUCUUCUUGGUUCAGGUAAGCCCUUGAUGUCCUAUCUCUCUCUUCCUCCGACAUGGUGUCUGGCCAUCAAGCCAUUGAUUUAGUGUUCAGAUCUACGGUGGUGGUCUUUCGGCGGUCCAUCAAGCCAUUGAUGUUCGUCCCUAUUAGCUGGCUGCGUUGAUUGUUUUGAAAUGUUAAGCAUUUUGGGCAGCUAAGGGUUUAGUUGGAUUCAAAAUGUGAAAACUAAGCCCUCGAACUAACCAAAUGUUGUCUCUCAGCUAUGGAGCAAAAUUAUAUGAUUUCGUCUUUGUUUAUUAUCUUGUCGCCUUGCUGGACGCAUGAUGGUAACCAUUUGAGUGGAUUUAGCCCUGGAAAAUAAGUGUUUUAGAUUGCCUCGUGGUUUAUAGAAUCACUUAAUCCCCAAUUUGGCACUAUGUCUAGUUUGUUUACUGAAAAUUUUCAUUAUUUCUGUGUAGACUAUGUAUGCGAUGCACUUGAGACUUCUGUACAUGCAUGCCUCGAAUAUUGUUAUGCUAUAAUUUUGUGUUGUGUCCAUUCGAGAGAGACCUGACUAGGCCAUUGCAGGUUGAGGGAACUUGGUAAGCUCAAGGGACACGUGGAAGUUGGUUUGUCAACUAGAAGGCGCUCGACAUCGAGACCGUCCAGCAGUCUGUACACGGUGGGAUGAUAUGGGCUUACAUGACUGCCUCCUCAGCUACAACUACUUGGGUGAGUCCCUGAUCUCACCUUCGUCCUUUGUUUGUUUUAGGCACUAGCUUUUGAGCUAUGGCCAUGCCUUGCUCUUUUCCGGCCAUCGAGCCAACGAUCUAGUGGUUGUUGUCUGUCCUAUGGUGCUAUGAUGUUAGUGUUUUCAUGUUCAGGUUUAGUCAUUUGCUAUGUGUUAAUGAUGAUGGUGAUUCUUGCAAAUGAUGUGCAAGGCAAAUUUCCAGAGUUGGAUGAAGAACUGUCAUACUGGAAGUUACUUGGUUGCUUCUAGUUGCUAUUGUCUAGUAGAUGAUAACUGAUUUACUAUGAUUUCUUAAGCUAUCUCUAGUGUUGUGCAUAAGUGUUAAGAGUGUAAAGUUUCACCAUGUUUUCCCAGGUAAUUUAGCUUAUUCUCUGAGGUAGCCUAAUCUUCUACAACCUCGGCAGUGGUGGCCACCUCUUCUUGGUUCAGGUGAGCCCUUUAUGCCCUCUAUUUCUCUCUUGCUUUGAGAUGGUGCCUGGCCAUCACGCCGUUGAUUUAGUGUUUAGAUCUGCGGUGGUGGUCUUCUGGCGGGCCACCACAAUCAUGUAAGGUUGUUGGAUUGAUUCUUUCGAAAUGUUAAGAAUUUUGGGCAGCAGAGGGCUUAGUUGUAUUCAAAAUGUGAAAACUAAGCCCUCAGCUAUGGAUCAAAAUUACUCCAUCCGUUUCUAAAUACAAGACCUUUUAGAGAUUUCAAUACGGAUUAUAUGCGGAUGUAUAUAGACACAUUUUAGAGUGUAGAUUCACUCAUUUUGCCCCGUUGUAAUCAGUAUUAUAAUCUCUAAAAAGGCUUAUAUUUAGGAACAGAGGGGGUACGAUUUAGUCUUUGUUUGUUAUCUUGUCGCCUUGCUGGACAAAAUGCGGUGGUUUCAGUCCUCAAAAAACUAGCAGCAGUGUUCACAUGAGCGGCGGUAUGAAGGGUGAUGAAAUAGUAGAUCACUUCCAUGUUUUUUGUAUUAAUUUACAUUAUUUGUCUUGGCUUGGAAGUUUCCAUGUUAUUGUUAAUUGUUUAUAGUAUUUCUUCUUGACCUGCAUAGCUGCAAUAAACUAUCAUGAACCAAAUGAAUUUUAUUAUUUUUAACGAAGGUUUGGGAGAAUCAAAUAGUACCAUUUUGGCAUUCUGUGAGGCAAAAUAGUCAUAGAAACAAUCAGUCCUGUGUAAUCAAUACAUUUACCCUAUCUCUAUUGGGCAUACACCGGCAAUAUCUGCCUAACUUAGUCCUUGAUAUGUAUCUAGAAACUGGUUGCCCAAAGCUAUUUCUUACUCGUUGACGUACUGAGAUAAACAUUGGUGGAUUCUAGGUAUGAAACCCACUUUUCAUAUUGUGAGGCUUUGAGAACUGAGCAGUCACUCUAUUGCGAACCUGUGCAGGUGCACGCUCGUGUCUCAGACUCCACAGGGCACCCAGGUUGUUUUGUCUAUAAAGAAAUGCCGCCAAGGGGCUCCUAUUUGGUCCCUUUUUUUAUAUUCCGAGACCUUGAAAUAUAACUUCGUGUAAUUUUUGUUAUCAUUCUGCAUUUGAAGAACCACCAAUUGUAAAGUUGAUCUGUAAAUUGUUUAAGCAAUCUCUUGUGUUUUGCAGAAGUAUCAAGAGUGUAAAGUUUCAUCCAGUUCUUUUUUUCCAGGAAAUUUAGGUUAUUCUUUGAGGUCUAAUCUUCUACAACCUCGGCAGUGGUGGCUGCCUCUUCUUGGUUCAGGUGAUCCCUUGAUGUCCGAUCUCUCUUUUGCUCUGAGAUGGUGUCUGGCCAUCAAGCCAUUGAUUUAGUGUUCCGUUCUGUGGUGGUGGUCUUCCGACGGGCCACCACAAUCAUAUGAGAGUGCUGGAUUUUUGUCCUAAUUAGCUGGCUGGAUUGGGUGUUUAAAACUGUUAAGCAUUUUGGGCAGCAAAGGGCUUAGUUGCAUUCAAAAUGUGAAAACUAAGCCCUCGAACUAAUCAAAUGUUACCUCUCUGCUAUGGAGCAAAAUUAUGUGAUUUGGUCUUUGUUUAUUAUCUAGUCGCCUUGCUGGACCAAAUGGGAAUAUAUGCACUGGUUUUUGACAUCAUGUUGUAGCUAGGUAGGGUGAUUGUUUUCAAAUGCUUAAAAUCAGAGAAUGGUUGGUUAGAGCUGUUGAUUGUUUUGACCCGUGAUCAAAAUGCAUGUGAUUAGAUAAUCCGGUACUAUAUGUCAGAACAUUUGGUCAUGAUAUAGGGUCUGUUUUGCUUUUGCCCAGGUUGGCCCUGCCAACGCACGGGCGAGCCAAAAAAUUGGCAUUGCUUUUCUGCGCCUGCGUCUUGCCGUCGCGUUGGCAAGAAAUUGAACCGGAGACCCGAGGGCAGCAUUGACAACGCAUGGGCUUUGAUCCAAACACCGCUGGGGCAGUUGGUCAACGCCAAUUAUUUGGCUUGGCAGGCUGGGGCUUCGAACCAAACUGGCUCAUAGUGACUAUUCAUCAUGGUUAUACUACUGUUGGAGGUGUGAUUCUACGGAUAUGCUUCUUGGCAAUGUGAGUAUUGGUAGGUGAUUGUUUAAUAGGAUUGUACAAGAAAAGAGAGAUAUUCUCUACUAGAUUUCUUACCAAAUCUUAGUUUUUGUUCUUUGUGCUGCUUAUAAGAAGUGUGGCAUGCCUGACCUAUUCCCAUGUGUUGGUGCUGUCCGCAGUGAUUAUAGGAAUACGAUGGCUUGACUGAUUGUAACUUGCCAUGGAGCAUAUUUUAGGAGAGCAUCAUGAGAUAAUCUUGGUUUCUAGUUGGUACUGUCAACCAGGCGAAGUUUUGUUUUAUAGGCCUUUUGCCACCAGGGCAUUGGCGUGUGUGGUGUUGUUUUGGUGUUGUGCAAUGUGUGUAUUAUUCCGUUCUUAGAUGGCGAGGGAUAAAGUCGUAUUGUUGAAUGGGUCCCAGAACACAUACAACUAUUGUUUUCAAUUUGGUUUUGUCCAUAAUUAAUAUGAUUUGCUUAAACCAUAGAUGUGUUGAAGUAGCUCCAAGUGUAUGGGUCGUGCAUAGUGUUGAUCUACCUUAACACAUAUUUACAUUCUUUAGAGCAAUGGACCUUGGCUCACCUGUAUAUAUUUAUUUUGUCAGCAUGCACCUCUUGUUGUUGACGCAUUAGAGAGAGGACCUGACACGUCCCGGCUGUUUCUUUGAAUAUUACAGGAGAUUAUAGCUACGGGGAGAAAAAAAAAGGUGGAAGUCGCAGGCUAAGGGAAGGGAAAGGUGAUACUCCACAUGGGAUCGAUACCAGGCUGAUGGGCUCGAUCUCAGCUGGGCAGUCGAGGAAAAACAGGGGAAGGAAGGAGGUGAAAUUAAGGCCCAAGUUUUGUUUGCCACAAGACUUGUUCCUUCAAGGGGCCAGGCCAUAUUUAUCUUGCUGCCGCGGACACAUGUUUUUUUUUAUGGUUGGUUUAUGACGAUUCACAACAAAAGUUGGCAUGCAGGCAGGUUGUAUGAUUAAGUUUGUGUGGUCUGCACUUUGGGUUGUUGUUGAUGUGUUUGUGAAACAUAGAUAUAUAUGCAAUCAAAGUGGGUGUAUGUCAAGUUUUCUUUGUUUGGUAUCGAACCCAAGGAGCGUAUACAUAUAUACUUUGAAGUUGUCGAUCGAAAUGGUUGUAUGUAUUGAACUCACUCAUCUACUGGUCCUUUCCUUGCUUAUUUAUAUUUGUGGAAUUUGCCGUGCCUCAUUGGAUUUAUUGUGUGCCUAAUUAUCAAACAUCAUUUUUUGGAGGAACUUGGCAUAUAUAGAUUGAAUUGAUGAUGAGUUAUGUAUUGGCUGCCCCAAGUUGGGUUAGUUAUAUUAGUUCCCCUGUAUGUAGAAUGUAUCCGAAUGUAUGUUAUUUCUCCCUCGUCAAUAAUCCAGUGAAACAUGCAUAUUCAUCUGUCCAUCAUCAGGUUUGGGUAUCUCUUGUACAGAAUGAACACAAGUUGGCACCAUGCAUCAAAGGAAGAAACUUAACAAUUAGCCGAUAUACAUGCAAGCAUCAAAAACACACUUUGAUAUGCAUAUACUCCCUCCGUCUCAUAAUGUAAGAUGUUUUUUUGACACUAUAUCAAACAAUUAGUUGGACUCUUUUCUCUCUUCUCUCUUCUCUGCCUUCACGCUUUGCUUGCCAGUGAUUUGGCUGGAUGCCCUGGUUGAUGGAGCAAGGGUAUUCCGGCUCAAAAAAAAAAAAAAAAAGAAACCAGAAGCUCCUUAAUUCUCUCGUCUACGCACGCGCGCUUCAUCUCAUCUCCGUUGUGAUCCAACCAUUGGCUAAUGCUUCCAUCCACGUCUAGCGGAAGCUCCUUAAUUCUCUCCUCCACUAAACUCCCUUUUCCUUUCCUGUGAAUGAAAUGAAUGUGUGUCUAGGGAUGCCCAUCAGGGAGGGAGCGAUGGAGGGCCUUGCUUGCGCCACCUCACCGAUCCGUGGCACUUUGUCCAUGGAGCGCGCCCCUCCUAGCUUGUUCUACUCAGCACGCCCGUGGCCAUCUUGUCUUAUAUAUACAACAAGUAGUCAUGUGUCCGCGUGCGACUUGGACUUGGAUCCGGCUCUGCUCGUUCAAUUCAAUUUCCCACUGUAAGCAGUUCAGUUUAAUUUUAUGGUCCGACUGUCCGAUUCCGCCGUUGAUUCUCACAGACACAGGUCGCGCGCGGUUGAAGAUGGGAGCGGGCGGAGAUCCAAUCCAUCAUCGUCGUCGUCAUAUUGAUUUCCAACGGUAAAUCUCUAAUUCCGCCAUUGUUUCGCGGUUCCUCUACUCUGAAUUUAUAGAUGCGGACGGGAAACAAGAGAUAAGAUGUGGCGCAUUCGAUCAGUCAGUCAGUGCGGUUUCAGUUUCAGUUUCAGAUAGGUUGGCCAAGGAGUGCGGUUUCAACUCUGCAUGCAGAUCAAAAAGCAUGCUAGCUAACUAGCUAGCACCCCUAGCUUUGAUCGAAAAUGUCAAGGGAGCCGAGCCUGAGAAGAGAGAUGCGAUGCAAACUAAAGUUGAAAUCUUAUAAAAAUUAUUAUCAUUUCCUCAUCUUUCCACUGGUCUGUACCUAUAAACCGAAGGAACCCAUGUGUUGUCUCAGAAAUCAAUUAGCCGAAUAACAUAAAAACUGGAGAUCUAAAAAACUAAGCCAAACGCUCUAUACAUGAUCAACUUAGUUAUGACCACAGUUCUCAGAUAAAACAUUCGAACAUUCUAACGUAUCAUGACCACUCCGUGCCUUAUUUACCUGAGACUUUUGGUCUGCAGUAAUUAGCAGAGUUGAACCUGAAAACUUGAGUAGAGAAGUAUAAGCAUAUGGUUUUUUUAGGUGAAACACAAAAGUAGAAGCAUAUGUUUUCCUAGGGGAAACAGAAAGUUAACUGGAAGUGACCGUGUGGUACCUGCAGAUCAUCGUGUCGCUGGGCAGCGGGCCAUGGGACCAGCUCUUCGGCGGAGGGAACGCGCCAUCCUUCUGGGUGGCUGCCGCGGCCUCCUUUGUGGGCGGGCUAGUAGCCAUCCUGGGGCUCCCGCGGGCCCGGCUCGGGCCGAAGAAGAAAACCACCCAACGAUGAUGAUUCGAGCUGAGUAUACAGAGACAUUGUUAUGUUGCAGACAAGGAAGGAAGGCAGGUUGGUCUCAAGUUGCAACCAUUCAUUCUUUGCACACUGGUUCAAAGACACCGGGAACGCUGCCUACACUACACUACACUACACUUGUCAUCAUCAAGUUGGGUUCGGUUCAAAUUCAAGGCCAAAAGUAGGAGGGCUCUGGAAUUUUCCUCCAUGAGCUCUAUCGUCGCCUUUUUUUCGCUUGUCGGUGUGAAACAUGGUCGGUCAUAUGUUGUUGUAUAUCGGAUAUUUUGCCAUUUUGUCGGAGAUUAUCAACCAAUCAAUAAAAGUUGCAGGGUUUUGUUUGAGAUUAUUGUUCAUGAUUUCCUUUCUUUCUUUCUUACUUUGGCCUUGUUGACAAGGGAGGCCUCAGCACGCCUGUACCGAGACAUAAUACAUCUAGCCUAUAGCGUGGACAUAUUGGGCAGGUCUAACACUGUAGCUGCGUGCAAGUUUUUUUUAAUUAUUAUUAUU
Molecule: long non-coding RNA, 36463 nt
Filed under: Triticum aestivum (bread wheat)
Lineage: Eukaryota; Viridiplantae; Streptophyta; Magnoliopsida; Poales; Poaceae
Description: long non-coding RNA (TAES_LNC019183)
Source: RNAcentral